AGAGUUUGAUCCUGGCUCAGGACGAACGCUGGCGGCACGCUUAACACAUGCAAGUCGAACGAGAGAAGAGGAGCUUGCUUUUCUGAUCUAGUGGCGGACGGGUGAGUAACACGUGAGCAAUCUGCCUUUCAGAGGGGGAUACCGAUUGGAAACGAUCGUUAAUACCGCAUAACAUAAUUGAACCGCAUGAUUUGAUUAUCAAAGAUUUAUCGCUGAAAGAUGAGCUCGCGUCUGAUUAGCUAGUUGGUAAGGUAACGGCUUACCAAGGCGACGAUCAGUAGCCGGACUGAGAGGUUGAUCGGCCACAUUGGGACUGAGACACGGCCCAGACUCCUACGGGAGGCAGCAGUGGGGAAUAUUGCACAAUGGAGGAAACUCUGAUGCAGCGAUGCCGCGUGAGGGAAGAAGGUUUUAGGAUUGUAAACCUCUGUCUUCAGGGACGAAAAAAGACGGUACCUGAGGAGGAAGCUCCGGCUAACUACGUGCCAGCAGCCGCGGUAAUACGUAGGGAGCGAGCGUUGUCCGGAAUUACUGGGUGUAAAGGGAGCGUAGGCGGGAUCGCAAGUCAGAUGUGAAAACUAUGGGCUUAACCCAUAAACUGCAUUUGAAACUGUGGUUCUUGAGUGAAGUAGGGGUAAGCGGAAUUCCUAGUGUAGCGGUGAAAUGCGUAGAUAUUAGGAGGAACAUCAGUGGCGAAGGCGGCUUACUGGGCUUUAACUGACGCUGAGGCUCGAAAGCGUGGGGAGCAAACAGGAUUAGAUACCCUGGUAGUCCACGCCGUAAACGAUGAUUACUAGGUGUGGGGGGACUGACCCCUUCCGUGCCGCAGCAAACGCAAUAAGUAAUCCACCUGGGGAGUACGACCGCAAGGUUGAAACUCAAAGGAAUUGACGGGGGCCCGCACAAGCAGUGGAGUAUGUGGAUUAAUUCGAAGCAACGCGAAGAACCUUACCAGGUCUUGACAUCGUAUGCAUAGCUCAGAGAUGAGUGAAAUCUCUUCGGAGACAUAUAGACAGGUGGUGCAUGGUUGUCGUCAGCUCGUGUCGUGAGAUGUUGGGUUAAGUCCCGCAACGAGCGCAACCCUUACUGUUAGUUGCUACGCAAGAGCACUCUAGCAGGACUGCCGUUGACAAAACGGAGGAAGGUGGGGAUGACGUCAAAUCAUCAUGCCCCUUAUGACCUGGGCCUCACACGUACUACAAUGGCUGUCAACAGAGGGAAGCAAAGCCGCGAGGUGGAGCGAACCCCUAAAAGCAGUCUUAGUUCGGAUUGUAGGCUGCAACCCGCCUACAUGAAGUCGGAAUUGCUAGUAAUCGCAGAUCAGCAUGCUGCGGUGAAUACGUUCCCGGGCCUUGUACACACCGCCCGUCACGCCAUGGGAGUCGGUAACACCCGAAGCCUGUAGUCUAACCGCAAGGAGGACGCAGUCGAAGGUGGGAUUGAUGACUGGGGUGAAGUCGUAACAAGGUA
Molecule: ribosomal RNA, 1470 nt
Filed under: metagenome
Description: bacterial SSU rRNA
Rfam family: Bacterial small subunit ribosomal RNA
Source: RNAcentral